GGGGUUGUAGCUUAGUGGUAGAGCACUCACCUAGCAUGUGUGAGGUACUGGGUUCGAUCCUCAACAUCA
This 69-nucleotide transfer RNA is filed under the name Ictidomys tridecemlineatus (thirteen-lined ground squirrel). Its description in RNAcentral is "Spermophilus tridecemlineatus (thirteen-lined ground squirrel) tRNA". It matches the Rfam family "tRNA". Rfam says of the family: Transfer RNA (tRNA) molecules are approximately 80 nucleotides in length. The record is from Rfam by way of RNAcentral. Lineage: Eukaryota; Metazoa; Chordata; Mammalia; Rodentia; Sciuridae.